RNAcentral lists this unclassified non-coding RNA (253 nucleotides) under uncultured Gammaproteobacteria bacterium. Its description in RNAcentral is "contains 16S-23S intergenic spacer region". It matches the Rfam family "Bacterial small subunit ribosomal RNA", at positions 524 to 776 of the family's 1533-position model. The record is from RNAcentral. Lineage: Bacteria; Pseudomonadati; Pseudomonadota; Gammaproteobacteria.
UACGGAGGGUGCAAGCGUUAAUCGGAAUUACUGGGCGUAAAGCGAGUGUAGGCGGCUACGUCAGUCGGAUGUGAAAGCCCCGGGCUUAACCUGGGAAUGGCAUUCGAUACUGCGUGGCUAGAGUCUGAUAGAGGGAAGUGGAAUUCCGGGUGUAGCGGUGAAAUGCGCAGAUAUCCGGAGGAACACCAGUGGCGAAGGCGGCUUCCUGGAUCAAGACUGACGCUGAGGCUCGAAAGCGUGGGGAGCAAACAGG